This 301-nucleotide ribosomal RNA is filed under the name uncultured bacterium. RNAcentral's name for it is "partial 16S ribosomal RNA". It matches the Rfam family "Bacterial small subunit ribosomal RNA", at positions 509 to 807 of the family's 1533-position model. The record is from RNAcentral.
CAGCCGCCACGGUAAAACGGAGGGUGCAUGCGUUAAUCGGAAUUACUGGGCGUAAAGCGCACGCAGGCGGUCUGACAAGUCAGAUGUGAAAUCCCCGGGCUUAACCUGGGAACUGCAUUUGAAACUGUCAGGCUGGAGUCUUGUAGAGGGGGGUGGAAUUCCAGGUGUAGCGGUGAAAUGCGUAGAGAUCUGGAGGAAUACCGGUGGCGAAGGCGGCCCCCUGGACAAAGACUGACGCUCAGGUGCGAAAGCGUGGGGAGCAAACAGGAUUAGAUACCCGCGUAGUCCCUGUCUCUUAUAC